CCUGGUGUGGCUUAGUGGUUUGAAUGUUGGACUGUGACUCUGGAGACCAGGGUUCGAUUCCCAGCUCGGA
Molecule: non-coding RNA, 70 nt
Organism: Phrynosoma platyrhinos (Desert horned lizard)
Lineage: Eukaryota; Metazoa; Chordata; Lepidosauria; Squamata; Phrynosomatidae
Source: the annotation of a GenBank genome assembly